GAAUAUAAGUCGCUCGCUAACUCCUCCGUCCGCUAAAGUUGUCGCGCAACUUCGCGUCGGACAGAGUUGGGACCAAACAGCAAACAUGGCGGGUGACCACCGCUUGUUUACACCCGAAACCUGGAAGAAUUGGGACAAGACGGGACGAGCGGAGGCUUUACAGGUCAUUAAAGACUUCAUCCAAGAUGAUCCAGACAACCCAGGGUUUUCUCAGCCAGAGGAAGCUGCAGAUUUAUCUCGAGCUUUGUAUGAAAUUUUAUCAGCUUUCCUGAAAGGAAGCUUAAGGAGAGAACAUGCAAGACCAUUUUUUGCAGAAAUUAUCAACCUACAUCCAGACUUGGCAUCACAGUUGGUGGAGGUCUCGAUGCUACUUGACUUAGAAAACUCGGCUACAGAUCGCAUGGGAAAAAACAGGGAGCCUUUGAUGGCUCUCUUGAAGAGUCUAGAAACAGAUAAAUUGCUGAAGGAGAGACUGGAAAUUGAGACCCUAGGAGAAGCUGGUGUAGUCAAGAACAAAAAAACAUUUCACACAAGACAGAUUAAAGUCAAGACUAAGUUAUUCGCUCCCUCAUUCAGUCUCAAGUCAGCUGGGCGUGACGUCACCGCGGUUACCUACAAACAGCAAAAAUUCAAUCUGCUGCGUGAAGAAACAGAAGGUUAUGCCAAACUUGUCACUGAACUCAAUGAGGACAUAACUGAUAGAGUUACCCCAAAGUCUAUGAUACAGAUCAUAAGAAGUUUGAUUGGUGGGUUUAACCUUGAUCCAAAUCGUGUAUUAGACUUGAUUUUAGAAUCUUUGGAAUGCCGUCCACAUCACCAUGAGUUUUAUACAGGCUUACUUAAACUCUAUCCCUGUGAGUCCUCUACAAUCAGUGAACUGCUGGGCUUCAAGUUGAAUUCAUACGGGCUAAACGGGAGAACGGGAAAGGGAAUAUACACAACUAUAGCACUGCUAAUCCAAGCCAAUAUUUUGCAGUUUAGUGACAUAUACAAAUGGCUAACACCAGAAGAUUCAUCUAUGAUUGAGGACUACCAGAGGGAAGAGAGUGAAGCCAAGGAAAUUGCCAUGAAGAUCCACAUUGUUUCUACCAAAGAUAAAGAUAAGGAUAACAAAGAUAAAGAAAGGGAAGAUGACGAGAGAGAAAGAGAGGAGAUGAGAAAUAUGGAGAAGUUCUACACUAAUCAGAAAGUUCAGCUUUGCAUUGCGCUCUUAGAGGUUGGUGCUUGGGACAAUUUCAACGAACUCUCCCGGCGGUUUCCUGACUACUACCUUGUCUCCUGCCCUCCCAUAAGUCAGGCGCUCUGCAAGCUCAUCCAUGCGACUAUUGAGCCAAUGUAUCGCAAGGUGUGCGUCCUCCCAAGUCGUCUGAAAGGGACAGUAGUGGAACUGAUCAACAAUUCCCUAGCUCCACCACCUGCUUACACAUUUGAAGAUGUUUGCAACACCAUAUUCCCCAUGUUGUGUGCCCUGGGACCUCAUGUUUAUCAUGAUCCAGGGCUAAUGUACAAAGUGCUUAGGAUUGCCAAGGUGGCUCUGAAACAGGUUACAAUAAGUGGAGAUAAUAUGCGGCAAGACUUCUACUACGAAUUCCUUACUGUGCUGGAUGAGGUGCUACUCCCUGCGCUGUCAGUUCUUGAUUCAAAUCCAUGUCUAGCCGAAGAAAUCUGGGAGGUUCUCAAAGUUUACCCAUACCAGCAUAGGUACAAAAUUUAUGGUCGCUGGAAAAAUGAGACUCAUGCGCAGCACCCCAUAUUAAUCAAAGCUAAAGCCAGACUCCUCAAAAAAGCAAAGUUUAUCAUGAUGAGAAUCACCAAAGAAACCAUCAAGCCGGUCAGUCGUGGCAUCGGCAAGUUGACCCACAAUAAUCCAGGACCGAUUUUCCACUAUAUCCUGAUUCAGGUUCAACUCUAUGACAAUUUAAUAGGACCUGUUGUUGAUAGCUUCAAGUACCUGACUUCACUGUCUUAUGAUAUGCUUGCAUAUUGUAUCGUGGAAAUCUUGUCCGAAAACAAAGACAGAACAGCUAAUGAUGCUAUGGCCAUAUCUCCGUGGUUGCAGUCCCUGUCUAACUUCUGUGGCACAGUCUUCAAAAAGUACCCCAUGGACCUUGGUGGUAUACUACAGUUUGUAGCUAAUCAGUUGAAGUGUGAGAAGUCCAUAGAUCUUCUCAUAUUAAGAGAAAUAGUUCAGAAGAUGGGUGGCAUAGAUACUCUUGAGGAUCUAACAUCAGAGCAGCUUGAUGCGAUGUGCGGUGGUGAACUACUGCGUCGUGAAGCAGGGCAGUACCAGCAGGAACGAAACAUAAAAAGGUCCUCUGUAAGAUUGAAGGAGGCCCUUCUGGAGAACAACCUUGCCAUACCUUUAUUGCUGCUAAUGGCGCAACAGAGAAGUUCAGUUGUUUACAACCAGACAGAAUCACCUCACCUGAAACUUGUUGGAAAACUGUACGAUCAGUGCCAAGACACAAUGGUUCAGUUUGGUUCGUACCUCUUCCAAAUGGUCACCAUAGAUGAACUGAGCGACAGACUCCCUAGCAUUGGAACCCUGUUAUCUGACUGCCAUAUUAAUGCUGAUGUAGCAUUCUUUUUGGCUCGGCCAUUAUUCACAAAUAUGUUAAAUUUGAAAUAUGAUGAAUUGAGAAGACAGGACAGAGGUGAAAAGAAAUUGACAAUCGAACAGAAGAAAAAACGUUAUUUGGAAGCAUGCAAUGAGGUGUUUGGACCCAUAGUUGUAAAAAUAAGACCUCAUUUUAGUUGUAAGGUUUGGGAGGACAUGGACCCAUCCUUUUUCCUUACUUUCUGGACACUCACAAUGUCAGACCUAGAGGUACCAACUCACAUAUAUGAAAAGGAGAUCAAGAAGAUUGAUAUCAAUCCCUCCUCCAGCAAAAGAAAAAAGGACACUGACCGUCUAGUAUCUCUCAGAGAAAAACUACAGGAGGAAGAGAAGAGACAAAAGGAGCACGUAGAGCGCGUUCGUGCCAGAUUACAGCAGGAAAAGGACAAGUGGUUCAUGUUACGGGCUGCGAGGUCACCCAAAAACGAUACCGUCACUGCAUUUUUGCAGUUGUGUCUGUUCCCACGCUGCACUUUCACUGCACUGGACGCCGUGUAUUGUUCCAAGUUUGUCAAGAUGCUGCAUGACCUGAAAACGCCAAAUUUUUCCACUUUAAUCUGUUAUGAUCGGAUGUACUGUGACAUUACCUAUACCGUAGCAUCGUGUACAGAACAAGAAGCAAAUAGGUAUGCCAGAUUUCUGCUGGGAACUCUCGAGACAGUCAUGCACUGGCACGCUUCCCAGUCCAAUUAUGAGAAGGAGUGUGCAAAUUACCCAGGAUUUGUCACAAAGUACAGAGUAUCUCGGCAGGAAGCAAACGAUUACGUGGACUAUGAGAAUUACCGACAUGUAGUGCAUAAAUGGCAUUACAAAAUAACAAAGGCAUUAGUUACCUGUUUAGAAAGUGGAGACUACAUCCAGAUUCGAAAUGCCAUUCUGAUUCUCCAGGGAAUCCUGUCACGUUUCCCUGCUAUUACAAAUUUGGCAGCAGUGAUCGAGAAGAGAAUAGAAAAGGUCAAAAAUCAAGAAAAGAACCGUCGGAAUGAUCUGUACGUCUUGGCAAACAGUUACUCGGGAAGACUGAAAGCCGCAAAGUCUACUCUCAUGCCUGAAACGGACUUCCACAUAGUCCCGAAACGUACCCCACCGGCAAACAAGGUAGUGAAUGGGACGACAGAAAAGGCACAAGCAGCAACUAAUAAAGGAGAUGGGAAGACAGGUGGCGAAGUGACAGAAAACGAUAAAGAAGCAAAGGUGGAAUCAACUGAAGCUACAAACGGAGAUGUUGACAUGAAAGAGGAAAAGAGAGAAACUAGAUCAGGGAGAAAGGAGGGUGACGAUAAAAAGGACAGCGAGGCCAAGAAAGAUGACAAGAAGGAUGAUCCCAAAAAGAAGACCAAAGAUGGUAAACGGGCAAAGCCGGAUGAGGAAGAUGAGGCGGUUGAAGCUGACAUAGAACGAGAGGGCAGUGUUGUGUCUAAUUCAUCCUCGUCAUCAGUUAAGAUGGAGCCCCCGGAAGGGUCUACGAGAGGGAAAUGUAGUGCUGCAUCAAAUUCAUAUGAUGAAGAAAAUCCAAACAAGAAUAUUCUUUAGACUUUAUUAUCUCAAUAGUACACCAUUGUGUGAAUUAAAGAAAAUCUUGUUAAAAUAUGAACCAUUUGUAACUAUUGUAAACAUCACAUGCAAAAUAUGAGACUGGACUUUGAUCCAAGGGUCAAAACGCCGUAAGACGGAGGCUAACUCGAAGGUCAGUAUGAGCGUUGAAUGUGACCAGUAAUUAUAUUUAAACCGUUUAGAAUUGAAGGGCCGGUGUUUCACAGUGAAGAAGUAUCAGUCAUACCCCUCCAAAUUGUAACCAUCAUAGUUAUGGCUUCCCAUAUUGCUGCUGCCACCAGUGCUUCACCCUGAUGUGCUGCGGUACAAGUGUUCAUCCCACGACAGGCAGUCAAAUGACGUUUAUUCAAAAACUGAGGAAACAAUAGUUAAGGGUGGGAAAGAAGCCGAUCUUUUCUUUUAAACUUCAGUGGAUUAAUAUUUUCGGAUUAAUCGUAGGUGUCCUGGCAAUACCUAUUCGUUACUCAACUUGAAUGUGGACAGUGAAGCCGUUUCCAGUGUUAUUUUUAAUAAUGAAAAUGAAAUAAUUCAUUUCUUGCUUUGGGAAGGAAACUUUUAUUAAGAUAAAAAAAAAAAAAAAAAAAAGUCCAGAUGUCUAUAUGUGCUGAGACAGGAAGUACAUCCAGAACUUCUUGAAGUGAUGUAUCCUAUUUAGAAAGUACAGUGGAAAAAGCCGCAUAAAGUUUGUUCGUCCCAUUUUCCUAAGUACCCGAGACUAGAUAAUCGAUGCCACAACACUCCAAGCUAUGCCAGCGGACAUUGUUUAAUAAGCCUACUUCGUGAUCUCUUCGUGUAAGUCCAUGUCGCCGAUUGACAGCGCAAGGCUGGUGACUCAAGAGACAGCAGGACUGCAGAGUGAUGUCUUAACUUGUCAGCAUGAUUUUUCUCAGGAUUUCAUCUCCCGCAAAGUUCUUCUGACACAAGCUCCUGAGCCAACCACGUGCAAGCGCCUUCCCCCUCCACCGCGUGCAGGGAACUUACUGUACAUGUUCCACCAUAUGCAAAAUUUAACUCAAGUUUGAAGAAGGCAAUAGGCUGAAUAGGAACAUCACCACACUACUACUAUAUUUUUUGUAUUGUGGCAUCUCAAUAAAUAGACGACUUAGCACAUC
Molecule: RNA transcript, 5283 nt
Organism: Macrobrachium nipponense
Lineage: Eukaryota; Metazoa; Arthropoda; Malacostraca; Decapoda; Palaemonidae
Gene: tho2
Gene name: THO complex subunit 2-like
Exons: 30
Source: RefSeq, a predicted model, not a curated record